Long non-coding RNA from Artibeus jamaicensis (Jamaican fruit-eating bat), 773 nucleotides. RefSeq lists it as uncharacterized. The record is from RefSeq and is a predicted model, not a curated record. Lineage: Eukaryota; Metazoa; Chordata; Mammalia; Chiroptera; Phyllostomidae. The transcript has 3 exons.
GACAGCACAGUUAGGGCUGAGUUGCUCUAGAAACCAUGUUCACCUGCCAGUACUCUCAGAUUCUGUCCCUUCAACAAGAUAAGGGACUCUUGAGUUAGCUAAGCAAGAAAAUGGAAUAAGAGUGAAAGUAGGACCAGAAAAACAACAAGGACAAAUGAAUCAGAUUAGCAGCAAAAGGGUAAACAGAAAAGCAAAGCCAAAUGGCAUAUGACCAGAGUCAUUAAGAGGGAAAACAGAACAGCAUGCCUAAGAACAGAGGAGCCCAAAGCAGGAAUAACGGAAAUCAGACAUGGAGAUGGUGAAGUCUGAAGGUUGUUCUCUGCUUCCAGAGGCCCCUUGCUCACCUGGAUGCCCUUCCCCCAUCUUCUGACCAAGCAUGAUUCUUCUACCUAGAUAAAGAAGACAUGGAGAUCUUAGGGGAUGGCUAAGACCAUAUGAAAACAGCCUGGGUCCCUGCAACACAACACAGAAGACAGCCAUCUGCAACCAGAACAACUCACACUGGACUGUUUAUAGCACUAAAAUCUUGGAGUUAUUUUUUUUUAUCACAGCUACUGUUUUCCUAAAUAAUACAAUGAUGAAGAUAGCCAGGAUUAAUUUACAUACUCCAUCCCAUUUAAAGUGUUUCUCCGAUUCUGAGAGGUGGAUACAUUAUUUCUUUUAACAGUAACAAGACCAUAAAGUUGAAGGAUCAAAGGUUUGGGAAUCAUGUCCAGGGUCUCUGACUUUUCAACACAUGAUCUUAACUGCAAUGUGAUAUUUACAGGUUUGAA